Molecule: long non-coding RNA, 674 nt
Organism: Ooceraea biroi (clonal raider ant)
Lineage: Eukaryota; Metazoa; Arthropoda; Insecta; Hymenoptera; Formicidae
Source: RefSeq, a predicted model, not a curated record
CUCUUCAGUCAAUUUUCGUGAAUCUUUUAAAAAAAAUUUGACAAGUCUGGAGUUUUUAGUGACACAUGAUUCUCUGACUUUACAAAGCAUGAACAAAUUUAUAUUAGUGCAACAGUGAUCGCGAUUUUUUGCGUAUUUAAUAAAAUUGUAAUAAUUUAAAAAAUUUCGACAAAUUUAAAAAAUAGUUUGUUGAAUUUUUUGGUGUGCUGUUUACAGUUAAAUAUUUUAUACGCUUCAGCGGUUUUGCACUUUUCUUUUUUUCUAAAAAUCUUUAAAAUAAUAAAUGCUAAAUGUGAGUUUAACACUUGCCGAACUUCCGUAGGAUGUGGAAGAAUUCACACGCGACGAGAGAUAAUUGUGACCUUCUGUGUCAAUUCGUGGAUUUUUAUAAAUCUAGACUCAGUACAUGUUAAAAUUAUAGAAAAAUAUUGAAUAUUAAAUAUUCCAUAUUUCUCUUGAACUGUGUUCUCUUCGAUAAUGUCUGCAGUGAAAUCGAAAUAUAAAAUUAACUAGUUGUGGACCAGGGGUAAGGAGAUAAGACUAAGACACACGCACUUACACAUAAAUUAAUUAAUCUUACGCGAACUAUACAAACCUAGGCAGUGAUACAGAGUUGCGGUUAAUUGCACCUAUUGCCUACUCAAUGAAAUAAAGUUUAGCCCGAUGGUAACGUA